RNAcentral lists this ribosomal RNA (253 nucleotides) under uncultured bacterium. RNAcentral's name for it is "partial 16S ribosomal RNA". It matches the Rfam family "Bacterial small subunit ribosomal RNA", at positions 524 to 776 of the family's 1533-position model. The record is from RNAcentral.
UACGGGGGGGGUAAGCGUUGUUCGGAAUUACUGGGCGUAAAGGGCUCGUAGGCGGCCAACUAAGUCAGACGUGAAAUCCCCAGGCUUAACCUGGGAACUGCGUCGGAUACUGGAUGGCUUGAAUCCGGGAGAGGGAUGCAGAAUUCCAGGUGUAGCGGUGAAAUGCGUAGAUAUCUGGAGGAAUACCGGUGGCGAAGGCGGCAUCCUGGACCGGCAUUGACGCUGAAGCGCGAAAGCUAGGGGAGCAAACGGG